AAUCAACGCUGGCGGCGUGCCUCAGACAUGCAAGUCGAACGAUUAAAGCUCUCUUCGGAGAGUGCAUAAAGUGGCGCACGGGUGAGUAACACGUAAGUAAUCUACCUUCGAGUGGGGAAUAACGUCCGGAAACGGACGCUAAUACCGCAUAAUGCAGCGGCAUCGCAAGAUGACAGUUGUUAAAGGAGCAAUUCGCUUGAAGAGGAGCUUGCGGCAGAUUAGCUAGUUGGUAAGGUAACGGCUUACCAAGGCUACGAUCUGUAACCGGUCUAAGAGGACGGUCGGUCACACUGACACUGAAUAACGGGUCAGACUCCUACGGGAGGCAGCAGUCGGGAAUUUUGGGCAAUGGGCGAAAGCCUGACCCAGCAACGCCGCGUGAAGGAUGAAGUA
RNAcentral lists this ribosomal RNA (393 nucleotides) under uncultured bacterium. Its description in RNAcentral is "bacterial SSU rRNA". It matches the Rfam family "Bacterial small subunit ribosomal RNA", at positions 32 to 415 of the family's 1533-position model. The record is from RNAcentral.